GGGGAUUUAGCUCAGUGGUAGAGCGUAAGGCCCUGGGUUCGGUCCCCAGCUCCCCA
This 56-nucleotide transfer RNA is filed under the name Rattus norvegicus (Norway rat). It matches the Rfam family "tRNA". From Rfam's summary of the family: Transfer RNA (tRNA) molecules are approximately 80 nucleotides in length. Their secondary structure includes four short double-helical elements and three loops (D, anti-codon, and T loops). The record is from Rfam by way of RNAcentral. Lineage: Eukaryota; Metazoa; Chordata; Mammalia; Rodentia; Muridae.